UCCGCUCUGGCGGCCGCUCCGCCCAUGCGCACAACGAGCCUGCGAGGCGCGCGAGCCCCACCCCCCCCAGCAACUCAGUGCGCAUGUCCGGGUCCUGACCCCUAGCGGAAGGUGGAGACGGGAAGAGGGAGGUGCUUUUGUUUCCGUGCAUAGGAGCAAAAGGAGGCUGCCCAUUGUGGUCCCUCGAAAAGCGCUAAAAGGGGCGGUAGGCGGAAGGAUCAAGGUGAUGCGUUCGAGAUGAGUGGCCCUGUAGUGCUCACCAGUGCCAAUGAUGGACCACAAUGUGGAGAUAUAAGCCAAAUAAAGGCUUUCGUCCCCAGCGUGCCUUUGGUCAUGGAGUGUCACCACAGCAAGAGAAGUGCUAAGACAAAGGGAAUCCACAGGCGGGAAGGAGCUCACAACACAGGGAUGUCGUCAAACCUCUGGAGAUUUUAGGAACAGAUGGAACAAGCCUCAAAAUAAUGGCUACGUACGAUAAACCUAUAAUCAAUGUUAUAACAUGGAGACAAACAGCAUUUUCUCUAAAACCAGGAACAGGACAAGGACGUUCACACUCUCUUAUCUAUAAGUGCUUGAAGUCUUAGUUAUAGCAAUUAGACAAGAGAAAGGCAUAAACAGGAUUAAAAAAAAUAGGACAGGAAGAAGAUAAACCCAUCUCUAUUUACAGAUGACACAAUUCUUGUUUAAAAGACCCUAUUGAGUCUGCUAGAAAACUAAUAAAUACAGUGAAGUUACCAUAUACAAAAUACAUGUUUAAAAAAAAAAAAAAAGAAGAGCCUUCAUUGUACUCCCAGGAAUAGAAAUCAGAGGCAAUAUUCCAUUUAAAAUAAUCAGCCCCAAUUAAGCAUUUAGAAAUAUAUCUAAGCAAAGAAAUAAAGGACCUUUACAAAAAUUAUCAAGAUAUUUAAAAAUGAAAUUACACAAGAUAUUGGAUUAUGAAAAGGCAUCUCAUGCUCCUGGAUUGGCAGUUAAUAUUGUGAGAAUGGACACACACGCGCACACACACACACACACACACAGAGAGAGAGAGAGAGAGAGAGAGAGAGAGAGAGAUCCAAAACAGCCAAAGCAAUCCUAGAUGAUAGAUGAUACUGGCAUAAGAUCAGACAGAUGCACCAAUGGGGUAGAAAAGAGGUCAAACAAGAAAGCUGUGCCCACUUAUUUAUUUACAAGGAAUAAAAAACAUACACUAGAUAAAAGCCUAUUCAACAAAUGGUUCUGGCAAAAUUUGAUACCUACUUGCAGAAGAAUGAAAUUAGAUUCGUAUUUUUCACCUCAUACAAAAAUCAAUUUAAAUUGGAUUAAAUAUCUUAAUGUAAAGCCGGAAACACUGAAACUUCUAGAAGAAAACACAGAUAGAGGGGAAUAUAGAACCCUUUUAAUGGAGGACCAACAGCACGGGAACUAGCAUCGGCAGAUGGGUUUACAUGAAAAUCAAGUUUCUGCUCAGCGAAGGAAAUGGUCAGCACAGCACAGACAGCCCACAGCACGGGAUAUCAUCUGCACCAGCUACGCCUCAGACAGACUACAAAGAACUGCAGAAAUUAAAUACCAAGGAAAUAAAACUGACAAUAAAUAGGUAAGUGAAUUGAAUAGACAACUUUUCAAAAAAAGAAACACAGAUUGCCAGUACCUAUUGUUUUAAAUGUUCUAUACUUCUAGACAUCAGGGAAAUACAAACUAAAACUACUCUGAGAUACCACAUUGCCCCAGUCAGAAUGGCUCUCGUCAGUAAACCCAAUAACAAGUGUUAGAGAGCUGUUUGGUGAGCGGAACCCUUAUUCACACUGGUGAUGGUGCGAAUUAAUACAGCCAUUGUGGAAAUCAAGUUUGGAGAUUUCUCAAAAAAAAAAUAAAUAAAUAAAAAUCGAACCGUUGUGCUGGCUAUUUUUAUAGUCAUCUGAGAAAAGGGAGCCUCAACUGAGAAAAUGCCUCCCUCAUCAUGAUGUAGGCAAGCCUAGAUGAGAUUUCCUUAGGGAUUGAUGUGGGAGGGCCCAGUACACAGUGUGUGGUGCCACCUCUGGGCUGAUGGUUCAGGAUUUUAUAAAAAAGCAGACUGAGCAAGCUAUAUGAAGGAAGCCAGUAAGUAGCACUCUUCCAUGGCUUCUGCAUCAGCUCCUGCCUCCAGGUCCCUUUCCUGUUUGAAUUCCUGUCCUGACUUCCUUAAAUGAUAUACACUGAAGUGAACACCUAAGCCACAUAAAGCCCCUUCCCUCCCUGAGUUGCUUUGGUGUUUCAUUAUAGCAAUAGUAACCCUAACUAGACCUUAGAUUUCCAGCCUGCAGGACUGGAAGGAAAUUGUGUGUUGUUUGGAAAACGUGGGCUGUGUUGGAACUUUGUUAGGGCACGCUCAGAACUAACCAGCUAUACUUGUUUUGCUGAGGAGUGGGGCUGCAGAGCCAUCUGCAAUGCUGUCCAGAACUACGUCAUUAUAACAUGAGAAAACUUUUGCUAGCCCCAGUACCUUCAUGCUUGCACAGAACCCCACUCCAUGCCUUCAGCUAUCAAAUCCAUUUUCAUUUCCCAACUGAAACCAAAAAAGGCUUCCUAGAACUCAAGGCUGAGUAUUUCCUUGCAAAAAUUAUUUAAUGGAUGAGUAAUAGGCUCUCCAUUAUUCUCAAAGUUCAAGUAUAUUUUUGUAAGGUUUAUUUUUAUUAUCAUGUAUAUGUGUGUGCAUGUGCAUGCUCAUAGAGGCCAGCAGAGGGGCUUCCCCCUGGAGGGUGGAUCAGGUGGUUGCAAGUCUCCUCAAAACAUUCUGGGAUCUGAGCUAGGUCCCGUGCAAGAACGGCAAGUGCUCUUAUCCACCGAACUGUCUCUCUAGCCCCAAAUUCAAAUAUUUUAAUACAGUUUCUCAUGUUCUUGUUAGCUGGCAUUUAAUUUACCUAGGCAAAUAGCUAGCUAUAUGAAGAUACAGGAAACUGAUAGCUGGCUGUUUUACCUUUAGAUUUACCUUUGUUAUUUUUUAUUUUUAGAGUAAGCAUAUUCUUGGUACACCCACACUGAACACUGGACUUCACCUUUAUCAUAGCAUCUUACAUUUGCCUGUACGGUGGUGUCUCCUUCACAUGGUGUCUCCUGAUUGAACUGUGUCUGUCAUGUUCAUCAGUGCAUCUUUGAUAGCUACAGGUCAUUGGCGUUACCAGAUUCUAUAGGUCAAUUAAACCUUUAACCCAAAGAGUUAGUGGUCUCAAAUGUUUUAGAAACGCAGGAAUGGGGGCUGGAAAGGUGACUCUGUGGUUAAGAACACUGACUGCCUUUCCAGGCACCUGGAGUUCAGGUCCCAGGUCAGUUCCCAGUUCACUGGGCAGCUCAUAGUCGCCCAACUCAAGGGGAGCUGACACCCCCUUCUGACAUCACUGGCUACCUGCACACUCAUGGCAUCCAUUCACACUCAUGGCAUACACUCAUCCGCAUGAGUUAAAAUAAAAAGAAUUAAAAAUAAGAACUAUGGAAGUUUUGUGUCUUUAACAAUACAGACAUAAAUGUAUAAUAUAUAUAUCCACAUCUACAUGUAUAUGUGAAUACACACAUUCAGUCAGUGUGACAAUGUAUUUGUAUAUAUCAUAACUAUAGAUUCUGUGAAUUGAUUUUAUCUUAAAAGUUUUUAAAAUUAUCGCUUCUCGGCCUUUUGGCUAAGAUCAAGUGUAAAAGUUUUUAAAAUUAAAAAAUAAUUAUCCAUUGGCAUAUGGAAGAAUUGAUUCUGACUCUAAAAAAUAGCACAAUCCUUGGACGAUCAAGCUCCCGAUAUGAAAUGACAUUUUAUAUGCAUGUGCUUUAUGUCCAUCCUCCCAGACAUUUAAAUUACCUUCCGUUUAUUCACAACAUGUGACACAGUUUAAAAGUAUGUAAAUAGCGAUUACUGGGUAGUGUGAGAAAUAACGAUAAAAACCUUUUCGUGUUCAGUUCAGUCAUAUGUGUGUGUUAUAUGUACAUGUUCACGUGUGUACGUCUGUGUGCACAGUUGUGCAUGUGCACAGGUGUUAUGUGUGGAGCUCAAAAGGUCCAAGUCAGGUGUCUUCCUCAUUCUCUCCACCUUUUGUAUCUUUGAGUCGGUGUCUUUCACUAAAACUAGAGCUCACUGGCCCUCCUGUCUCCUAGGCCUCCCAUCCCUGCCACCCCAGCUCUACGAUUACAGAAGCACACAUUGCAUCCAACAUUUAAACAGAUGUGGGGGAUCUGAACUUGGGUCCUCAUGCUUGCUCAGCAAGCAAGCACUGUAUCAACUGAGUCACCCCAGGCCUCACCGGAAUAUUUUUAGCCUAUGGUUUUAAUCUACAGAUAUGGAACCUGUGGGCACAGAGGAUCCGACACUAAAGCCGUCAGGCAUGACAGCUGAUGAAUCUGAGUGACAUGUUUGGAAUCCUUAGUUUACUUGUAUACUUAGAAUAAUAGUCUCCUUUAAGAGUCGGAACUGUGUCAGAGCACUCUAGGACCUGACUCCAGGUCUUUUUUCACAAGAAAUGAACCAAAAAUGUGGACUUUCCCCAUCAUGUAUAUAAUGACCUUUUUGAUAGGUGCUUACAAUUCCAGAUAAAUUAUGGCAUUAUUUGACCCUAUGAGCAGAGUGGCAAACUGCCUUGUCUGUAUAAUCCAAGGGGAAAGAGUUUUACACCUAAGAGUUUUCAGGAGGAAACCGGAAGCGGAGCUCAGCUGUAGAAGCCUUGGCUGGAUGUCACCACGACAGGAUGCAACUACAUCACAGUCUCGCAGGCCUUUAAGCCAAGACUGAGAAGAUGAAUUGAUUGUUCUCCUCUCCCACUGAGACGUGAGGGGAAAGGCACGAGUCAGGGUCAUUCUAAAUUUAUGAGGUUGGCUUUCACAUUUAACUUGUAAAAAGCUUAUUAAAUAUUUUACAGUGUUCUUACUCAUGCAUAAAAUAUUGAAACCUAGUGAUUUUCCUAGAGAAAAUCCUGACAGCUCAGAGAGUCUUUUCUCAUGUGAAUCCCCACUUUAGAGUUCGUAAAGAAAGAUCUGGCCAUCAGAUAGCUCACUAACUACUACAGUAGUCAAGGCAGGUCGCAGAGGGCUUGUAGCUCAGGGUUAUUUUAAUAAGUUCCUGGGACUGUGCAAAAGGCACCAUGAAAACCAGGGCCACAGACACCAAAUUUAAAUUCUGAGUUUGAGGCACUGAGGUGCAGACAGGAGCAGCAAUGUUCCAGGCAGAAGGUCGGAGGGAAAGAAGAUGAUUUUAAGUGAUGCAGAGCCAAGACGACAGCAAGAGACACUUGAGUUAGACAAGCACGGAAAUGGGAUCGCAAGUCCUCCUAGGUCUGAAGGAAACACCUUGCCCUUGAGAAUGGGAAGUUGAAUAAAUACCACAAAAUUAUAUCUACAUACUAUCAUUUAAGGAUAAACUUCAUGCAUAUAAGCAUGUUCCAUUUACACAUCAUUAUCUUUUUAAAAUUCAAUAAUUAUAGAAAAUGGCCAGUUAUUUAAGGGAAGUCAAGACAGUAAGUUAUCACACUUUCAGUUUUAAUAUUUCCAGUCUAAAUCCUGUUUGGAUCCAAUAGAAUCAGAGGUAAUUGUUUUUACAAAAUUAUAGUGUGUUAGGCUGGAGAGAUGGCUCAGCACUUAAGAGCACCGGCUGCUCUACCAGAGGACCUGGGUUCAAUUCCCAGGGCUUAUAUGAUGUUUAAAAGCAACUGUUCCCCUAUGUUCCUUUGGUUUCAUGGAAUCUGAUGCCCUCUCCUGGCCUCUGUAGGCUCUGCACACCCAUGGCUUCACAGACAUACCUGCAGGUUAUCAUCUACACACACAAAUUAAAUUUAAAAAACAUUUUUAUAGGAUUUUUUUGUGGUUUUUUAAAAAAGGCAUAAUGUAUUAGUUAUUUUUCAAUGCUACCAAUUACCUCCAGUGAACUAAGCAACAAUUAACAUUAUUGCUGAGUUUCUGUGUUAUCAGUAAAAGUCAGGAGUGGCUUAAUCCUCAUGGUCCAGAUCAGAAUGUUUCAUGAUGUCAAAAUGUUGAUCAGGGAACUGUUAUUUGAAAGCUUCACCCAUGCUGGAAGACCCCUCCCAAAGUAACUGUCACGUGGCUGGUAAUCAGCAGAGCCGUAGGGCUGGAAAGAUGGCUCAGUGGUUAAGAGCAUUGUCUGCUCUUCCAGAGGUCCUGAGUUCAAAUCCCAGCAACUACAUGGUAGCUCACAACCACCUGUAAUGAGAUCUGAUGCCCUCGACUGGUGUGUCUGAAGACAGCGACAGUGUACUUACAUAUAAAUAAAUAAAUUUAAAAAAAAAAAGAAAAAGAAAAAAAGUAAAG
Rattus norvegicus (Norway rat) is the source of this 6258-nucleotide long non-coding RNA. RefSeq lists it as uncharacterized. The record is from RefSeq and is a predicted model, not a curated record. NCBI's taxonomy places the organism in Eukaryota, Metazoa, Chordata, Mammalia, Rodentia, Muridae.